CCUUCCCCUAGAGGCUUGCAGGAGUGGCUGCUGUGUCGCGUGUGUGUCAGUAAGUGGCAGAGAGGAAAGAGGCUGUGUCCAGGCUUGGUGUUCUGACCUGUGAACAUCUGAAUGACUAGCAACCUAACAUC
Meriones unguiculatus (Mongolian gerbil) is the source of this 131-nucleotide small nucleolar RNA. Lineage: Eukaryota; Metazoa; Chordata; Mammalia; Rodentia; Muridae. The record is from Ensembl.